This 445-nucleotide long non-coding RNA is filed under the name Brassica rapa (field mustard). Its description in RNAcentral is "long non-coding RNA (BRAP_LNC006164)". Lineage: Eukaryota; Viridiplantae; Streptophyta; Magnoliopsida; Brassicales; Brassicaceae. The record is from RNAcentral.
CUUUUUACUUGACUUUGCAGUCUUAGUGCUCUCUUCAGGCUUUUCAAGGUCAGUUUCCAUAAAAUCUUCUUCUUCUUCAGCAUCAUCUUUCUUCACAAUCUGUUUCUUUGAUGCUGAACCCUUCUGUGCUUUCUCCUUUUUACUUGACUUUGCAGUCUUAGUGCUAUCCUCAGGCUUUUCAAGGCUAGUUUCCAUAAUAUCUUCUUUUUCUUCAGGUUCAUCUUUCUUCACAAUCUGUUUCUUUGAUGCUGAACCCUUCUGUGUUUUCUCCUUUGCGGUCUUAGUGCUAUCUUCUUCAGGUUCAUCUUUCUUCACAAUCUGUUUCUUUGAUGCUGGUGUGGCUACAGAACCUGCAUCAAGAUCUGUCUCUUCCAUCUUACUCCUGCUCCGUUUCCGUGACCCCUUCCUAGCCUUACUCGAGGGUGAGAGAGAAAUAACAACCGAC